RNAcentral lists this ribosomal RNA (400 nucleotides) under uncultured bacterium. Its description in RNAcentral is "bacterial SSU rRNA". It matches the Rfam family "Bacterial small subunit ribosomal RNA", at positions 355 to 758 of the family's 1533-position model. The record is from RNAcentral.
UCGAGAAUAUUUAGCAAUGGACGAAAGUCUGACUAUGCGACGCCGCGUGAGGGAUGAAGGUUUUCGGAUCGUAAACCUCUUUCGAUAGGGAAGAAGCCCCCGCAAGGGGGUUGACGGUACCUAGAGAAGAAGCCACGGCUAACUCCGUGCCAGCAGCCGCGGUAAUACGGAGGUGGCUAGCGUUACUCGGAUUCAUUGGGUGUAAAGGACAGGUAGGCGGCUAUGCAAGUUGGUGGUGAAAUCCUGCGGCUCAACCGCAGAACUGCCUCCAAAACUGCAUGGCUUGAGGCUGGUAGAGGAAAGCGGAAUUCCCGGUGUAAGGGUGAAAUCUGUAGAUAUCGGGAGGAACACCAGUGGCGAAAGCGGCUUUCUGGACCAGUCCUGACGCUAAGCUGUGAAA